This 222-nucleotide ribosomal RNA is filed under the name uncultured bacterium. RNAcentral describes it as "partial 16S ribosomal RNA". It matches the Rfam family "Bacterial small subunit ribosomal RNA", at positions 111 to 334 of the family's 1533-position model. The record is from RNAcentral.
UAACGCGUAGGAACCUGCCCUGGUGUGGGGGACAAGCCACCGAAAGGUGGUCUAAUACCGCAUACGGUCCCGUUCGCAAGGAUGGGAAGAAAGCUCGUGAGAGCGCACCUGGAGGGGCCUGCGUCCGAUUAGCUAGUUGGUGGGGUAAGGGCCUACCAAGGCGAUGAUCGGUAGCUGGUCUGAGAGGAUGAUCAGCCAGACUGGGACUGGGACACGGCCCAG